Molecule: transfer RNA, 73 nt
Filed under: Aedes aegypti (yellow fever mosquito)
Lineage: Eukaryota; Metazoa; Arthropoda; Insecta; Diptera; Culicidae
Rfam family: tRNA
About the family: Transfer RNA (tRNA) molecules are approximately 80 nucleotides in length. Their secondary structure includes four short double-helical elements and three loops (D, anti-codon, and T loops).
Source: Rfam by way of RNAcentral
CCUCUCGUAACGUAGGGGUAACGCGCUCUAUCUAGAGAACAGGGAGUCGUGAGUUCGAUUCUCACCGAAAUGA